This 375-nucleotide ribosomal RNA is filed under the name uncultured Paracoccaceae bacterium. RNAcentral's name for it is "bacterial SSU rRNA". It matches the Rfam family "Bacterial small subunit ribosomal RNA", at positions 521 to 896 of the family's 1533-position model. The record is from RNAcentral. Lineage: Bacteria; Pseudomonadati; Pseudomonadota; Alphaproteobacteria; Rhodobacterales; Paracoccaceae.
UAAUACGGAGGGGGCUAACGUUGUUCGGAAUUACUGGGCGUAAAGCGCGCGUAGGCGGAUUAGACAGUUGAGGGUGAAAUCCCGGAGCUUAACUCCGGAACUGCCUUCAAUACUACUAAUCUUGAGUUCGGAAGAGGUGAGUGGAAUUCCUAGUGUAGAGGUGAAAUUCGUAGAUAUUAGGAAGAACAUCAGUGGCGAAGGCGACUCACUGGUCCGAUACUGACGCUGAGGUGCGAGAGCGUGGGGAGCAAACAGGAUUAGAUACCCUGGUAGUCCACGCCGUAAACGAUGGAAGCUAGUUGUUGGGCGGCAUGCCGUUCGGUGACACAGCUAACGCAUUAAGCUUCCCGCCUGGGGAGUACGAUCGCAAGAUUA